Molecule: ribosomal RNA, 433 nt
Filed under: uncultured bacterium
Lineage: Bacteria
Description: partial 16S ribosomal RNA
Rfam family: Bacterial small subunit ribosomal RNA
Source: RNAcentral
AAUGAACGCUGGCGGCAGGCCUAACACAUGCAAGUCGAGCGCGCCCUUCGGGGUGAGCGGCGGACGGGUGAGUAACGCGUGGGAACGUGCCCUUCUCUGCGGAAUAGCCUCUGGAAACGGAGAGUAAUACCGCAUACGCCCCUUGGGGGAAAGAUUCACCGAGGAAGGAGCGGCCCGAGUUGGAUUAGGUGGUUGGUGGGGUAAUGGCCCAUCAAGCCGACGAUCCAUAGCUGGGUAGUGAGAAUGAGCAGCCACACUGGGGCUGAGACGCGGCCCGGCCUCCUACAGGAGGCGGGAGAGGGGGAUCUAGGACAAUCGCGGCAGCGCUGAAGUAGCCAGGGCGGGAGAGUGAUGAAGGCCUUAAAGUUGUCAAGCUCUUUAAGCUGGGGAGAUAAUGACGGUACCAGCAUAAGAAGCCCCGGCUAACUCCGUG